RNAcentral lists this ribosomal RNA (497 nucleotides) under uncultured bacterium. RNAcentral's name for it is "partial 16S ribosomal RNA". It matches the Rfam family "Bacterial small subunit ribosomal RNA", at positions 28 to 507 of the family's 1533-position model. The record is from RNAcentral.
GAUGAACGCUGGCGGCGUGCCUAAUACAUGCAAGUCGAGCGAACAGAUGAGGAGCUUGCUCCUCUGACGUUAGCGGCGGACGGGUGAGUAACACGUGGAUAACCUACCUAUAAGACUGGGAUAACUACGGGAAACCGGAGCUAAUACCGGAUAAUAUAUUGAACCGCAUGGUUCAAUAGUUAAAGACGGUUUUGCUGUCACUUAUAGAUGGAUCCGCGCCGCAUUAGCUAGUUGGUAAGGUAACGGCUUACCAAGGCAACGAUGCGUAGCCGACCUGAGAGGGUGAUCGGCCACACUGGAACUGAGACACGGUCCAGACUCCUACGGGAGGCAGCAGUAGGGAAUCUUCCGCAAUGGGCGAAAGCCUGACGGAGCAACGCCGCGUGAGUGAUGAAGGUCUUCGGAUCGUAAAACUCUGUUAUUAGGGAAGAACAAAUGUGUAAGUAACUAUGCACGUCUUGACGGUACCUAAUCAGAAAGCCACGGCUAACUACGUG